AAGUUUACAAUGAAACAUUGAUUUAACACAGCUCUGAAACUUUACUAUGCAGAAGAAAAAUGCUGCUUUCAACCAUCUUAAUUUUAAAUGAAACAAAUACAGAAAUUGUUUCUUUACCAUGUCACAUCUUCUUUUCAACUUUCCCUUUAUUUUUUUAGUAGUUAACGUUUAACACAGUAUUAUGCUUAUUUGCUGCAUCU
Molecule: long non-coding RNA, 200 nt
Organism: Dermochelys coriacea (leatherback sea turtle)
Lineage: Eukaryota; Metazoa; Chordata; Testudines; Dermochelyidae
Exons: 3
Source: RefSeq, a predicted model, not a curated record